GACGAACGCUGGCGGCGUGCUUAACACAUGCAAGUCGAACGGAAAAGCCCUGCUUUUGUGGGGUGCUCGAGUGGCGAACGGGUGAGUAACACGUGAGUAACCUGCCCUUGACUUUGGGAUAACUUCAGGAAACUGGGGCUAAUACCGGAUAGGAGCUCCUGCUGCAUGGUGGGGGUUGGAAAGUUUCGGCGGUUGGGGAUGGACUCGCGGCUUAUCAGCUUGUUGGUGGGGUAGUGGCUUACCAAGGCUUUGACGGGUAGCCGGCCUGAGAGGGUGACCGGCCACAUUGGGACUGAGAUACGGCCCAGACUCCUACGGGAGGCAGAAGUGGGGAAUAUUGCACAAUGGGCGGAAGCCUGAGGCAGCAACGCCGCGUGCGGGAUGACGGCCUUCGGGUUGUAAACCGCUUUCGCCUGUGACGAAGCGUGAGUGACGGUAAUGGGUAAAGAAGCACCGGCUAACUACGUG
RNAcentral lists this ribosomal RNA (468 nucleotides) under uncultured bacterium. Its description in RNAcentral is "partial 16S ribosomal RNA". It matches the Rfam family "Bacterial small subunit ribosomal RNA", at positions 28 to 507 of the family's 1533-position model. The record is from RNAcentral.